Molecule: non-coding RNA, 78 nt
Organism: Podarcis lilfordi (Lilford's wall lizard)
Lineage: Eukaryota; Metazoa; Chordata; Lepidosauria; Squamata; Lacertidae
Source: the annotation of a GenBank genome assembly
ACCCAGGUGGCAUAGCUCAGUCAAUAGAGCACGAGACUCUUAAUCUCAGGGUUGUGAGUUUGAUCCCCAUGUUGGGCA